Non-coding RNA from Cinara cedri, 264 nucleotides. The record is from the annotation of a GenBank genome assembly. NCBI's taxonomy places the organism in Eukaryota, Metazoa, Arthropoda, Insecta, Hemiptera, Aphididae.
AUGCAAAAUUAACUGAAAUUCACUAGGUGUGAGUUUUGUGAUCCUAUUGGCCAUUAUCGCCUGUAUUAACUGUGUAUUGUGAUACUAUGAAAUUUUAAAGGAUUUUUCGUUUUUUGUUUUACAUUAGUGGUUCUUAACCUUUUUCGAUUUAGCGCUCCUUCAUCGAGAUAACUGAAUGAUAACACCCCCUCACCCAAAAUUAUAGGCUUACCUUGGUGUUUUGCUGAUACCUUUUUUUUUUCUCAUCAGUCAUUAUACCGAGUA